RNAcentral lists this transfer RNA (89 nucleotides) under Caudoviricetes sp. RNAcentral's name for it is "tRNA-Ser". It matches the Rfam family "tRNA". Rfam says of the family: Transfer RNA (tRNA) molecules are approximately 80 nucleotides in length. Their secondary structure includes four short double-helical elements and three loops (D, anti-codon, and T loops). Lineage: Duplodnaviria; Heunggongvirae; Uroviricota; Caudoviricetes. The record is from RNAcentral.
GGAACAUUAAGCCUAAUUGGUAAGGCAGCGGUUUGCUAAACCGUCAGUAAGCGUAAGCUGUACAGGUUCAAGUCCUGUAUGUUCCGCCA